Brevibacillus laterosporus LMG 15441 is the source of this 192-nucleotide non-coding RNA. It matches the Rfam family "6S / SsrS RNA". Rfam says of the family: E. coli 6S RNA was the first non coding RNA to be sequenced, but its function was unknown until recently. It consists of 184 nucleotides that fold into an extended hairpin structure with a large single-stranded internal bulge. Lineage: Bacteria; Bacillati; Bacillota; Bacilli; Caryophanales; Paenibacillaceae. The record is from Rfam.
AUAUUCCUGCGAUGUGCGUUGAGCUAAUAUGUUUUUAACCUUAAGUGUUUCUAGGGAGACAGAACGCUGUUAUCUAAUGUCAAGCCCACCUCCUUUAUGGGACGAUGGGAAGGCAGAAGGGCGGCUGAGUCACCCACCUGGUCUUUCAGGUUAAAAGAAACAUGUAUAGCAAGACGGCAGAGCGGGGCGUUA